RNAcentral lists this ribosomal RNA (478 nucleotides) under uncultured bacterium. RNAcentral describes it as "partial 16S ribosomal RNA". It matches the Rfam family "Bacterial small subunit ribosomal RNA", at positions 28 to 523 of the family's 1533-position model. The record is from RNAcentral.
GACGAACGCUGGCGGCGUGCUUAACACAUGCAAGUCGAACGGUAAGGCCCUUCGGGGUACACGAGUGGCGAACGGGUGAGUAACACGUGGGUGAUCUGCCCUGCACUUCGGGAUAAGCCUGGGAAACUGGGUCUAAUACCGGAUAGGACCACUGCCUGCAUGGGUGGUGGUGGAAAGCUUUUGCGGUGUGGGAUGGGCCCGCGGCCUAUCAGCUUGUUGGUGGGGUGAUGGCCUACCAAGGCGACGACGGGUAGCCGGCCUGAGAGGGUGACCGGCCACACUGGGACUGCGAUACGGCCCAGACUCCUACGGGAGGCAGCAGGGGGGAAUAUUGCACAAUGGGCGCAAGCCUGAUGCAGCGACGCCGCGUGGGGGAUGACGGCCUUCGGGUUGUAAACCUCUUUCAGCACCGACGAAGCGCAAGUGACGGUAGGUGCAGAAGAAGGACCGGCCAACUACGUGCCAGCAGCCGCGGUAA